Molecule: ribosomal RNA, 301 nt
Filed under: uncultured bacterium
Lineage: Bacteria
Description: partial 16S ribosomal RNA
Rfam family: Bacterial small subunit ribosomal RNA
Source: RNAcentral
CAGUCGCCGCGGUAAUACGAAGGGGGCUAGCGUUGUUCGGAUUUACUGGGCGUAAAGGGCGCGUAGGCGGACUGAUAAGUCAGGGGUGAAAUCCCAAGGCUCAACCUUGGAACUGCCUUUGAUACUGUUUGUCUUGAGUUCGAGAGAGGUAAGUGGAACUGCGAGUGUAGAGGUGAAAUUCGUAGAUAUUCGCAAGAACACCAGUGGCGAAGGCGGCUUACUGGCUCGAAACUGACGCUGAGGCGCGAAAGCGUGGGGAGCAAACAGGAUUAGAUACCCCUGUAGUCCCUGUCUCUUAUAU